UCAAAAAAUAAAAUAAAAUAAAAUAGAAUAAAAGUAAAAGAAAUUUCUUAGGCAGAGAAUGAGGGCAAGGAUGUCCUCGGUAAGGUUUUCUUUUUAAUCAAAAGCAGCCCCCAGAUCAUUUCUUUUUCUAACAAAGAGCAGCCUGUAAAAUCGAGCUGCAGACGUAGAUAAGCAAGCUGGAAACUUGCACGUGUGAAUGCUGGCAGCUGUGCCUACAGGAAAAUGCUACCUGGGGGCCAAAAUGUCAUGUUCAACUUUUCUUCCCUUUUCUUUGUCAACCACAUGUACAGUAAGGAACAGACAACAUGGCGCCGGCCAGAUAGAGACUCCAUCUGCAUAAUAAAAGAUCAGGGUGGAAUGGCCAGCUUUUUCACGCACUAUGCAAACGUCACACCUGGCCCAACCAAUCGCUCAGGCCCUAUGUAAAUCAGACACCACUUUCUCAAUUUCGUCUGUAAAACCCCGCGCACCCCCACCCCGUGCUUUUCACCACAAAACCGGAAGAUCCACUCGGGAGCCUCUCUCUCUGCAGGAAAGAAAGCUCUUCUCUUCUCUUUCUUUCGCCUGUUUAACCUCCACUCUUAAACUCACUUCUUGUGUGUCUGUGUCUUCAAUUUUCCUGGCGUGAGACAAGAAACCUCGGGUAUUUGCCCCAGAUAGUGACGCCGCUUCAGCAGGACCUCAGCUUUGACUCUGAGUGAGAUGGGAGCCAUUGGAGAGCUCUGAGUCCAGCCGUGACCUGAUGUGAUUUGUAAAUGAUCCCUCAGGUUGCUGUGUUGAGAAGGGGGAGAGGGUGCAGGUGGGGGCAGGGGCAAAAACAGGGACCCCCGUUGGGAUAACCUGCUCUCUGAAGCUUUCCUGUCCCCUCCUCCCCUCAGGUGGAGCUGACCUCUUCCUCUGUUGUUCUUUAGGCUUCCACAACAUUUCCCAUAAUUUAAACACUGACCGUUUACUUGUCUGUCUUCCUCCAGGUCAAUAUAUCCACAACACCUGACCCAGAACAGGUGCUUGGCAAAGGCUUAGCACAGCACCUAGUACUCAGAUGCUCACCUGAUGCUUAUCCCAUGAGUGGAUGGAUGGAGGGAUGAGCUACAAAAACCUAAGGGCUCAGCAUCGAGGGCAGGGGCAGAGUGAGUAGUACCCUAAAACUCUUUCUUAAAGGCCUGAACCCUUAGGGAACUGAGCUGUGUCUAGAAGCGAGAAAAAGUGAAGAGAAGACUCGUGCAAAUGCUCAAGGCACCUUGGCCGGAAGUAGAGGGGAGACCAGACCCCACACUCCUCCAGAACCAGCAGGGUCUCCUGUCCCAGAAAGGAAUGACAGAUGGCAAGAGAUCUGUGGCCCCGGAGCAGUUCUCGGGGAGGUAGUGAGAUCCUCUAGGCUGACCACGUUGAAGUAACAAGAAAACAUUGGCCCUGAAGGGGCUCUGGGGGUGCAGCAAGGACAGUGUCAGAGUGAUGGAUGGUUUUCUGAGGACCAAAUCCUACCACGUGAUGUUGCACAAAGACCUCAGAACUAGGACAUAAAUCCUGGAAGAAGUUACAUAUUUAGGCCAGGUGGGGUGGUAAUCCUAGCAGCAUCUGAGGCAGGUGGAUUGUUUGGGCCCAGGAGUUUGAGACCAGCCUGAGCAAGAUGGUGAAACCCCAUCUCUACUAAAAAUACAAAAAUUGGCUGGGUACAGUGGCAUGAACCUGUCGUCCCAGCUACUCGGGAGGCUGAGGCCGGAGAAAUGCUUGAACCCUGGAGGUGGAGGUUGCAGUGAGCCGAGAUGGAACCACUGCACUCCAGCCUGGGCGACAGAGUGAAAUCCUGUCUCCAAAAAAUAAAGAAAGAAAGAAGUUACAUAUUUUUCCCCACCAGCCUAAUGGCAAAGGAACUCCAAAUCAGAAAUGGGGCACAGGUACAGAAAAACAAGAAAGUUGUUCUGCUUGCCCACUGGAGCUGUCCCGGCACUAAGCGAAGGCCUGCCAUGUGUGUCUAAGGCCUGGAGCCAGCCCAGAGGCUGCACCUGCAUCACUCAGCCCUCUCCCUGCUCGUCUCUGUGCCUCUUCAGUCCAAUGCUUCCUCCUUCCCAGGCGCCAUCUGUUCUGUAGUUUUCUCUCAACCUGGCUUCCUGGGAAGGGCUGCAGCCAUGUUUGAGGAGCCCAGUAAAACACCCCCAAGGGCUGUUGCCUUCUUCCUCCGGGCUAACUGAAUUCUUGCAGGGGCUGGGAAGAGGUGGUGGGAGGACAGGGCAGGCUGAUCUGGAGAGUCUGGCUUCCUGGGCCCCAGCCCAGCCCUCGGCAGAGCAAUGUGACCUGAUCCCACACUUGGCCAAGGCAGCUGCAGACAUUUGCAAAGUGACAAAAGGAGAGGAGGGACCUAAGAAGAAAACAGCAUUUGCACAGCACAUGGAAGUGCCUGGAAAUGUUUUCUGGACACAUUAUUCUUCUCUAGGGUGAUUUUCAAGGCCAACCAAGCCUGGAGACUAAAGCUUCCAGAGAUAUUUUUGCAUGUCUGGCACCCAUGGCUCCACCUGGACCUGAAGGCUCCUGUGACCCCACCCAGGAGUGACUCAGUUCAAGACAACAGCUUUGACCCCCUCUGAUUUCAUCUCCACUCCAACCAAUCAGCAGCAAUCACCCAUUGCCUGGCCACCCCCACCCUUUACCCAAACUGCCUUUGAGCCUUGGAGGAGAUUGGUUUGAGUGAUAACUCCGUCUCCUGUGUGGCGUGGCUGGCUACAAGUCAAUUAAAUUCUUUCCUUACUGC
Cercocebus atys (sooty mangabey) is the source of this 2749-nucleotide long non-coding RNA. RefSeq lists it as uncharacterized. NCBI's taxonomy places the organism in Eukaryota, Metazoa, Chordata, Mammalia, Primates, Cercopithecidae. The transcript is spliced from 4 exons. The record is from RefSeq and is a predicted model, not a curated record.